GACAGAGGGUGCAAACGUUGCUCGGAAUCACUGGGCGUAAAGGGCGUGUAGGCGGGAUCAUAAGUCGGGCGUGAAAUCCCUGGGCUCAACCCAGGAACUGCACUCGAAACUGCGAUUCUUGAGUACCGGAGAGGAAAGCGGAAUACCUGGUGUAGAGGUGAAAUUCGUAGAUAUCAGGUGGAACACCAGUGGCGAAGGCGGCUUUCUGGACGGUAACUGACGCUGAGACGCGAAAGCGUGGGGAGCAAACAGG
Molecule: ribosomal RNA, 253 nt
Filed under: uncultured bacterium
Lineage: Bacteria
Description: partial 16S ribosomal RNA
Rfam family: Bacterial small subunit ribosomal RNA
Source: RNAcentral